RNAcentral lists this long non-coding RNA (935 nucleotides) under Physcomitrium patens. RNAcentral describes it as "long non-coding RNA (PPAT_LNC008719)". Lineage: Eukaryota; Viridiplantae; Streptophyta; Bryopsida; Funariales; Funariaceae. The record is from RNAcentral.
UUGGAUAAGGGUUUAAGGUUUGAAUUAGGAUUUAGGAUUUUAUAAGGAUUUGAUUUAGGGUUUGGAUUAGGAUUUAGUUAGGGUUUAGUUAGGAUUUAGUUAGGGUUUGGUUAGGAUUUGAUUUAGGGUUUGGAUUAGGGUUUGGAUUAGGAUUUAGAGUUUGGUUUGGGUUUGAUUUAGGGUUGGAAUUAGAGUUUGGUUAAGGUUUGAUUUAGGGUUUUAUUUAAGGUUUGGUUUAGGAUUUAGGGUUUGGAUUAGGAUUUAGGAUUUGAAUUAGGAUUUGGUUAGGAUUUGAUUUAGGGUUUGGAUUAGAAUUUGGAUUAAGAUUUAGGAUUUGAAUUAGGAUUUAGGGUUUGAUUAUGGUUUGAUUUAGGGUUUGGUUUAGGAUUUUGGAUUUGGAUUAGGGUUUAGGAUUGGAUUAGAAUUUGGAUAAGGAUUUAGGGUUUGAUUUAGGAUUUGGUUUAGAGUUUAGGAUUUGAAAUAGGGUUUGAUUUAGGGUUUAAUUUAAGGUUUUUUUAGGAUUUGACUUAGGAUUUAGGAUUUAUUAGGAUUUAAUAUUUAAUUAGGUUUGGUCUAAAUUUUGAGUGAAAUUCAAUAGGGUUUUAACUAGAAUUAAAUUAAGGUUGAAUUGACAUAUAUUUGAGUAAUAUUUGUGAUCAUUCUAAUAUUUCUUUAAGAAUUUUAUUGUUUGUUUGAAAUUUCUUUGAGUUGUUUUGAAUUUGAUUACGUUUGUUUACCAUUAUUAUAGUCUAAUUAGAGUAUUGUUAGUAUUCUAUUAGAAUUAGGAUUUUGUUAUCGCAAUUUCUAUUCUUCCUUCUACAACCAGGUGCCCGGAGCAUUCUCAAGCAAGACUUCAUACAUUACAAUACCGUCUUGAGUCUCAAGUAUGGGAAUUGGGUUUGUUGAAUUUAGAUCUGAUGACGCGUUUGGAUAGA